Molecule: unclassified non-coding RNA, 231 nt
Filed under: Hevea brasiliensis (rubber tree)
Lineage: Eukaryota; Viridiplantae; Streptophyta; Magnoliopsida; Malpighiales; Euphorbiaceae
Source: RNAcentral
GCUAUGGGAGAGUGAAUGUUAGCAAGAUUGCAACUUUGUUUAAGGUCCUUGAUGUAAUCUGUGAUUCAACUGAAGUCGUUGAAACUGAACAGCCUGUUUCAAUGGAGUCAGUGAGUCAGAUGUUUGGAUUUCUGUUGUACGUAUCAGAAUACCCUCAAAAGGAAACCAGUAGCAUUCUUUCGAUUUCAAAGGUUCAUGACAGAGCUCAAGUCUUCGUCUCAUGCUCCCUAA